GGCAACCUGCUCAGUUUCUCUCUGCAGUGUGGAAGGUUUGUUCUUUUGCUGUUUGCGGUAAAUCUUGCUGCUGCUCACUGUUUUGGUUUGCAUUCCCUUUAUGAGCUGUGACACUCACCGCAAAGGUCUGCAGUUUCACUCCUGAGGCCAGUGCGACCACGAACCCACAGGGAGGAAUGAACAACUCCCGACAGGAGGAAUGAACAAUUCCAGACGCGCGCCGCCUUAAGAGCUGUAACACUCACCACGAAAGUCUGCAGCUUCACUCCUGAAGCUAGCAAGACCACGAACCCACUAGAAGGAAAAAACUCUGAACGCGUCUGAACAUCAGAAGGAGAAAACUUCGGACACACCGUCUUUAAGAACUGGAACACUUAUACCAUGAGGGUCUGCGGCUUCAUUCUUGAGCCAUUCAACAUAGUGCAUCAGAAGUGAUCUUUCAACACAUCCAGUACAUGAAUAAAUGAAAAACGCAAGUUACAAAACAUUACAGAGGUAAAAUCAUAAAUAUAGUCCCUGAAUUUCAUGGCCACCUGACCUUCACAUGAAGCUCAUAUUAAAGCCAUCUAUAGAGCAUGUUUUCCUGAAAACUUGACAAUAUUCACAUUUGAGAAAGAGUGAAAAUUUCCUCUAUGUGGAAUUGGAGAUGCCUCUGCAAAGGUGAUUGUCUCGAAGCCACCAUGGGUACAUUUGAUCUAUAUUUUACAAGUUCCAUAAGACUCCAUCCCACACAAGACAGUGAAUCUAAGUGUCACAGAAGACUGAAUUUCCUCAGUAUUUCACAGUUACCAAAACACCUGUGCUAAAUAGUUUUCUGUGUAUCAGCUGUGAAAACUCACUGUUCAAUAGCCCUCCAAAUUUCUCAUUUAUUCCUGGUGGGGGGGAGUCCUGGGGGGGCUCACAAUGCGUUAUUGUUAAACUCUAGGAAGGGUAGUGGUUCAAGAGCAUCAUUAAUGGAGUAAAAAGGAAAAAAGUACCAGCAAAUUUCACCUAUACUCCUUAUAGACCUUCGCUUCUACCUCUUCUGAGAUGCUGCCUUAUCUGCAAAUUAAUUAAGCAGAAACUAGAUGGGCACAAAUACCACAACAUUCUGAAGCUUAAUUAGCAAAUGCUUUUUAACUUCACAACAGGUCUUAGCCUUGUUGGUUACUUUGUUUCUUAAAAGAGCAGAAAAGCAAGCUGUAUUAUUCUUUGCUUCCUUUCAGAGAGGAAACAAGCAUGGAAAUUUAAAAAUAGAUCAAGGGAUGCUCAGAGGGCAGCUCCCUAGCAACCAGGCUGCAUUGCUGGUAUGCUAACUUGAGUGGCCUGCAUUCUGCCAGGAAUGUCGGCAAGCCACUCCCACCGAUAGCAAAGACAAGACAUGGAGGGAACUGGUCGGAUACAGCCAUGGAGGGGACACAGACAGGUGACUGCAAGAGCCACAGAUUCUCACCCAGCCCCUUCAGUCCCACCCAUGGGAAGGCCAGUAACUGUGUUCAGCAGUUUUCUCAAUUGCAACCCCCCAGUGAGGCCGUUAGCCCAUCCCCUGGGGCAAUAACACAGGAUGAAGGUAGGGAGAACUCUUGGUCAUCAUCAAAGACCCUUGAAGAGAGAAAUUAUUUCCAAAAUGUUUGCUGUCUGAUAGUUAAAAAUCGUGGCUCUGUCUUUCCCUUAUUAAAUAACACAGGAGAAAAAUGAAAAGAUGGAAUGUUUAUUGAUAGUCUUUGUGCCUGGUGCCAUGGAGCUUGUUUUUGAGGCUCUGAUGAUAAGAAAAGAAAAAAAAUAAUAAUCCUGCGUGUCAUAUAGCUGCAAAGUACAGGCACCCUGGUGUACACUGUGAAAAUAUCAUAGAAAAAAUAUGACAUCAUAUUGUCUGCCUACGAUGAUACAAUUUCUUAUUAAAAUAAAAAGAGGAAAGUGUGGAGACUAACAAUGCAUUUCCUUUUUUCACUCAGACUUCACACAGGGAAAGUUACCUGGAUGUUCAAGAUGUUAAAACAUGGCCUUGUGUCAAAAGUGAAAUAAUUAAAUAUUCAGUAUCAGCCCAUUAACCAGAUGGGCUCUCCCCACCCCUAAUGCCUUUUUAGUUCUUUGGCUUGCUUGUCCAAGAUGGCUUCUGAAGAAAAAUGCCAAGAAAAUUACUUUUAUGGAAAAUAUUUCUUCUUCCUCCCCUCCCUUCCUCUCUCCCUCAAUUCCUCCCUCCCUUCCUUUCUUCCUUCCUUCCUGCUUUUCUUCUAAGACAGCAUUCUCAAAUGGGCAGCCAUGCACUACUUCAUGUAAAGACAAAUCUUUUCCAUUCUUUGAUUUCUUUAAAAUAGUAAAAUAUAUGGCAAUAACAAAGCAUAUAAAAGAAUAUAAUAAACUUUUAUGUUUUUAUCACUCAAUUUACAAAGAUGAAACUUUACAACUCCUAUUGAAGUGCAUGUUUUUAUCUCCUAACUACCUUCCUUUUCCAUACACUUAGAGGUAACCAUUAUCCUGAAAUUUAUGUAUAUCAUUCCCAAACUUUUC
This 2490-nucleotide long non-coding RNA is filed under the name Homo sapiens (human). RNAcentral's name for it is "HSALNT0330759". The record is from RNAcentral. Lineage: Eukaryota; Metazoa; Chordata; Mammalia; Primates; Hominidae.